Molecule: ribosomal RNA, 878 nt
Filed under: uncultured bacterium
Lineage: Bacteria
Description: bacterial SSU rRNA
Rfam family: Bacterial small subunit ribosomal RNA
Source: RNAcentral
AGAGUUUGAUCAUGGCUCAGGACGAACGCUGGCGGCGUGCCUAACACAUGCAAGUCGAGCGAUUCUCUUCGGAGAAGAGCGGCGGACGGGUGAGUAACGCGUGGGUAACCUGCCUCAUACACAUGGAUAACAUACCGAAAGGUAUGCUAAUACAAGAUGAUAUAAGAGAUUCGUAUGGAUUUCUUAUCAAAGCUCCGGCGGUAUGAGAUGGACCCGCGUCUGAUUAGCUAGUUGGUAAGGUAACGGCUUACCAAGGCGACGAUCAGUAGCCGACCUGAGAGGGUGAUCGGCCACAUUGGAACUGAGACACGGUCCAAACUCCUACGGGAGGCAGCAGUGGGGAAUAUUGCACAAUGGGCGAAAGCCUGAUGCAGCAACGCCGCGUGAGCGAUGAAGGCCUUCGGGUCGUAAAGCUCUGUCCUCAAGGAAGAUAAUGACGGUACUUGAGGAGGAAGCCCCGGCUAACUACGUGCCAGCAGCCGCGGUAAUACGUAGGGGGCUAGCGUUAUCCGGAUUUACUGGGCGUAAAGGGUGCGUAGGUGGUUUCCUAAGUCAGGAGUGAAAGGCUACGGCUCAACCGUAGUAAGCUCUUGAAACUGGGAAACUUGAGUGCAGGAGAGGAAAGUGGAAUUCCUAGUGUAGCGGUGAAAUGCGUAGAUAUUAGGAGGAACACCAGUAGCGAAGGCGGCUUUCUGGACUGUAACUGACACUGAGGCACGAAAGCGUGGGGAGCAAACAGGAUUAGAUACCCUGUAGUCCACGCCGUAAACGAUGAGUACUAGGUGUCGGGGGUUACCCCCCUCGGUGCCGCAGCUAACGCAUUAAGUACUCCGCCUGGGGAGUACGCUCGCAAGAGUGAAACUCAAAGGAAUUGACGG